GACGAACGCUGGCGGCGUGCUUAACACAUGCAAGUCGAAUGAUGAACCCGGAGCUUGCUCCGGUGGAUUAGUGGCGAACGGGUGAGUAACACGUGAGUAACCUGCCCUUGACUUUGGGAUAACUGCGGGAAACUGUAGCUAAUACCGGAUACGACCCUCGGCGGCAUCGCCAGGGGGUGGAAAGAAUUUCGGUCAAGGAUGGACUCGCGGCCUAUCAGCUAGUUGGUGAGGUAACGGCUCACCAAGGCGACGACGGGUAGCCGGCCUGAGAGGGUGACCGGCCACACUGGGACUGAGACACGGCCCAGACUCCUGCGGGAGGCAGCAGUGGGGAAUAUUGGACAAUGGGCGCAAGCCUGAUGCAGCAACGCCGCGUGAGGGAUGACGGCCUUCGGGUUGUAAACCUCUUUUAGUAGGGAAGAAGCGAAAGUGACGGUACCUGCAGAAAAAGCACCGGCUAACUACGUGCCAGCCGCCGCCGUAA
RNAcentral lists this ribosomal RNA (484 nucleotides) under uncultured bacterium. RNAcentral's name for it is "partial 16S ribosomal RNA". It matches the Rfam family "Bacterial small subunit ribosomal RNA", at positions 28 to 523 of the family's 1533-position model. The record is from RNAcentral.